GGGCCACUUCCCUGCUUUCACUGAUACUUGGAAUGUGUAAUCCAUCAGUUUUCAUUUAGUAUUAACCAGUAUUUUUUCUUUUUUUUUUCUUCCCCCCUCCCCCGUGGUCACCACACAGAUGGAGAUAACGCACUAAAAAAACCUGUGUGAACUCAGCCUCCUGGACUCUCUGCAGUGAAGAUCUUGAUGUUCAGAGGGAGUCAGAAGAGAGAGGACUCCUCAGCAAUCUGGGCUGUGGUGUUUUCCUACAAGAAGCAGUAGGAUCUGUUCUCCUGCUCCGCUCCCAUUCCUUCUCACCUCGCCGCUGACAGUCGCUAUCUCAGCCUGGAGCCUUAUAAAUUUGUAGACUCUGGGAAUGAAACAAGACUCGUUUCCACCCCGUGUCCUGCUGGAAUUCUUGGACCCUGAAGAACAGCAACGAGGAGACAGCUACCCAAGCUUUCCUUACCUGUGAGUAUGGAUCUGAAGACAGGCACGAUAGCAGAUAAGGUGUGCUGACAGACAGGACGGCCCCAAUGGCAAAUUGCCCAUCAGGUUGUCUCACCAUUUUGCUGGACCGUCCCUGCGAGGCUCUGCCCGGCUCCUCUCCGCCUCCAGCGCUGCUAUUAAGGGAAGGAGGGACUUGAGAAUUCCCUAAGUCUUUGGUAAGCUACAACUUCCUUCCUUGCUCACAGCUAAUGAGAAAGGCUUCACCUCUUCUCCAAACCUUCUGGCCUGUUUGUUUAUAGAG
Molecule: long non-coding RNA, 730 nt
Filed under: Manacus vitellinus (golden-collared manakin)
Lineage: Eukaryota; Metazoa; Chordata; Aves; Passeriformes; Pipridae
Description: lncRNA (ENSMVIG00005006692.1)
Source: RNAcentral